RNAcentral lists this ribosomal RNA (45 nucleotides) under Ceratobasidium sp. EE-2011. Its description in RNAcentral is "partial 28S ribosomal RNA". The record is from RNAcentral. Lineage: Eukaryota; Fungi; Basidiomycota; Agaricomycetes; Cantharellales; Ceratobasidiaceae.
GACAAAUAAUUUUAAGAUCUGAUCUCAAAUCAGGUAGGACUACCC